CAUGUUUUGUUUCACAUUAAAAACUGCAUUUGUCUUUAGUGGUCGUAUGCUUGCUUGGCAGAAGAAUGUUUUGACCAUCAAGUUUAAACGCUUGAAUACCCGUAUAAUGCUGUCACUGCCAACUGAGAGAAGAAUUCCACUUGAAUUCUGAGUAAUGCUUCGCAUUAACAAAAUACUUUACAAAGAUGAUACUGCAGGCACAGAAAACAAGCAUCUAAUGGCCACUUUGGAUAAAGGACUCAUUCAUAUCCCAGCACCUUCAGUUAAAGUGAGAUCUCACAAUACACCGAAGCUGUCCGGCAGCAAAGUCUGGAAAUACUAGACUUGAUAUGUCCAAGAACUCCCUGAAGUUCCCACAAGACUUCCAGUGUGCCCCGGAAUCCAGGGACUUAGAUCCAGCUUGCUGCAGCGUACACCACGGGUGCUUUUGUUUACUUACAUGCAAAAUUCAGUGCCAGGGAUGAGUGCUUUUCUGGAGAUGGACCAGCUGCCUGAACAACAUGCUUCAUUGUGGUGCAUGUAGAAGUAAAACUGCCAGGGACUUCUGCGGAAGCAGAGUUAAGCCUGCCCUUUGGGAGAUCACUACAAUCAAGGCUGGCUUUAUGAAGGGCAGGGCCCGAUUCGAAUACCCAGCAGCAGUGGGUCAAGUCCUGGUCUUCCGCAACACCGAAGAACCCCCUACCGCCGGCUUCCCUGGUGCUUCAGCAGUCGGCAAUGAAGAAUGGAAGAUAAACAACUUUCCAGCACAUUCUGCUGCCUGUCACAAAGACACCAUAACAACCUUUUAUUCUGCUGCUGCUCCAGAUUGCCAACCCUGCCGACUCAUGUCCUCAAUUCCAGAACAGCAGCUGCAGCAACAGUACAAGUAUCCCAACCCUGCUCUAAUUUAAUUGACAUUUCUAUCCAGAAGUAAUAAAUCCACAUUUAUUUAAUCCUUCAUCUUUCUACUGAGACUGCCCACUGGAGUGGAAACCAAAAUGAUAAUGGCCCUUUUUGUGAUUUGUUUAGAUAUUAAAGUUCCUGAUUAAAAAUAGAAAUAAAAAAAAGACACGUAUGUGUGUAACUACACACCUAAAUUAUAUUUGCAAUUGCGGUGACUACGUACUACAUAUGCACGUUACAAAAA
This is a long non-coding RNA of Mauremys reevesii (Reeves's turtle), 1126 nucleotides long. RefSeq lists it as uncharacterized. Lineage: Eukaryota; Metazoa; Chordata; Testudines; Geoemydidae. The record is from RefSeq and is a predicted model, not a curated record. The transcript is spliced from 8 exons.